This is a long non-coding RNA of Ctenopharyngodon idella (grass carp), 1470 nucleotides long. RefSeq lists it as uncharacterized. The record is from RefSeq and is a predicted model, not a curated record. NCBI's taxonomy places the organism in Eukaryota, Metazoa, Chordata, Actinopteri, Cypriniformes, Xenocyprididae. The transcript is spliced from 2 exons.
UACAAUGAUUUUAUCACAAUUGACCCUUAGCCAGGAGUUUGAUUGACAAGCGAUCUAACCAAUCAUAACGCCGGAUCCGCCAUUUUGUCCGACAAAGCAGUCAGGAGUUAGAAGAUUAACCUCGGUGGACUUGAAAUUGAAAAAUGGUGAUGCAGUAAGCACAGUGAAGCAUGCGGACACAGUGAAGCACAGUGUCUAUGCGGAUGAGGAAGAUCACAAGGCUUUCACAAGACCUCCCAACAUGGCCUGGGUGCAGUAUGCCUUCAGCGAGGACGGUCUGUGGCAUUCGCAUCAAGGGCUCUCAUGCCUACUGAAUCCCGUUAUGCUCAGAUUGAAAAAGAAAUGCUGGCACUCGUGUUUGCGACAAAAAAAUUCCAUGAUUUUAUCUACGGACGGCCAGUCACUGUAGAAAUUGAUCAUCAGCCCUUGAUAACCAUAUUAAAGAAGCCACACCACACAGACUCACCCCGCUUACAGGGUAUGAUGAUGAAACUGCACCGCUACCACCUAGAUGUGAUCUUCAAAUGUGGUAAGAAGCUGUUUGUGGCUGAUGCAUUGUCCUGGGCCCACCUUUCCACAUCUGAGCCACAACUCACUGAUGACCUGCUGGAAGUCAUGACUAUGCUGCUUGGUUUGUGUGCAACGAGUUUUCAGAUUUUGCGCACACAUGGGACUUUAAGCACAUUCGCAGCAGCCCUUGCUAUCCUCAGUCCAAUGGGCUGGCUGAGCGGGCAGUCAGAUCUGCCAUGCACCUUCUGGAAAAAUGCUACCAUGACAAUACUGACAUCCAUGCUGCCCUUCUUCAUCUUCGGAAUCUUCCCCGGGAUGCCUUACCUUCCCCUGCACAAAGACUGCUUUCCAGGCAAACAAGGACCUUCCUCCCAGUGACGAAGCCCAUGCUUCACCCUGUUGUCCAAACUAACGUAAAAGAAACACUCACAAAACAAAGAAUGAGGGGGAAAGACUAUUAUGACAGAAAUGCACAUCAGCUCCCUGCUCUGAAGCUGGGGCAAACUGUCAGGAUGCAAACAGCACAUGGUUUUGAGCAACCAAAUAGCCCAUGUAACAGCCUCAGUCCCCUAAAGUGGCACUGACACAGACAACAAGUGUUCACUGGUGACUCGUUCUGGAAGAGUCAGCCGCCCUAACCAACAUUACAAAGACUAUGUUUUGACCUGAUUGAUAUGUGUUAUGCAAAUCUAGUUCAUUAUCAUUCUUGUUCAAGCAUUAUGUAAUUUUGCUACGGAAACAUUCCCCUUAUUGCACUUAUUCUUUGUUAUCAGAUGUCUUGUUGUUGAUUGUAUUUAACGUUGCUAUUUUCUCACUAGAUUGUCUCCCUCUGGAAGAAGGGGGAUGUAGCAUUAUGUGUGGUUUCACUUUAAGUCACGGCCUCAUGUGAAUGACGUCAUUAGGCAUGGCUGGGAUAUAGAGGCGUGUGUAAUAAAAGAGAACAUGGUGGUUUUGGAUCAA